This 85-nucleotide transfer RNA is filed under the name Candidatus Omnitrophota bacterium. RNAcentral's name for it is "tRNA-Ser". It matches the Rfam family "tRNA". From Rfam's summary of the family: Transfer RNA (tRNA) molecules are approximately 80 nucleotides in length. Their secondary structure includes four short double-helical elements and three loops (D, anti-codon, and T loops). Further hydrogen bonds mediate the characteristic L-shaped molecular structure. tRNAs have two regions of fundamental functional importance: the anti-codon, which is responsible for specific mRNA codon recognition, and the 3' end, to which the tRNAs corresponding amino acid is attached (by aminoacyl-tRNA synthetases). tRNAs cope with the degeneracy of the genetic code in two manners: having more than one tRNA (with a specific anti-codon) for a particular amino acid; and 'wobble' base-pairing, i.e. permitting non-standard base-pairing at the 3rd anti-codon position. Lineage: Bacteria; Pseudomonadati; Candidatus Omnitrophota. The record is from RNAcentral.
GGAGAGGUGCCAGAGUGGCCGAAUGGGGCGGUCUCGAAAACCGUUGUCCCGCAAGGGACCCAGAGUUCGAAUCUCUGCCUCUCCG